AUGAACGACGACCUGUGCCGGCCGUACAGCAAUGAACAUAUCAAAUGUGCUUUGUUCCAAAUGGGCCCAACGAAAGCCCCUGGACCGGAUGGGUUCCCUGCCCUUUUCUAUCAGACUCACUGGGGUUUCCUUGAGGCAGAUAUCUGUCAGGCUGUACGAGGUUUUCUGGAAGGCAGACCAAUUCCUGAAGGUUUUUGCGAUUCUGUGAUUGUUUUGAUCCCUAAGACUACAAGACCAAAGCAUCUUAAGAACUUCAGGCCGAUUAGUCUCUGUAACGUGCUGUACAAAAUUGCGUCGAAGGUUCUUGCCAAUCGUCUGAAGGUGCUUCUGCCUAUUGUGGUGUCCGAGUGUCAAAGCGCCUUUGUUCCUGGUAGACUGAUCACUGACAACACUCUCAUUGCAUACGAAUGUCUGCACACUAUUCGGAAGCAGCGUGUGAAACAACCCUUCUUUGCUCUUAAGAUAGACAUGAUGAAGGCAUAUGACCGUAUUGAAUGGAACUACCUCCAUGCCUGCCUUUCCAAACUGGGUUUCGCCACUGCCUGGAUUGAUUCUGUGAUGAGAUGCGUUACAACGGUUCGUUAUGCUGUCAGAGUCAACGGUGAGCUUACUGAACUGGUGGUUCCGUCGAGGGGGAUCCGUCAAGGGGAUCCAAUUAGCCCCUACCUAUUUCUGCUUUGCACUGAAGGUUUGUCUAGUCUGCUUCUUCAGAAGGAGUGUUGUGGCGAGCCACAUGGGAUCAAAAACGGCCGUCAUGGCCCUCCUAUCUCACACCUCCUAUUCGCGGAUGAUAGCAUCUUCUUUGCUAAGUGUGACCAGCGUAGUGUGGACUCUUUGGACUCCGUCUUGCAAAUGUAUUGUGAUGGGUCUGGCCAGGCUAUCAACAAGGAGAAAUCAUCUAUCUUUUUUGGCCAGAACUGUCCGGACAUCAUUAAGAACAGGUUCAAGUCCAGAUUGGGAAUUCACAAUGAAACCUUUCAUGAUUUCUACCUUGGUAUGCCUACAGAAGUUGGUAAUUCUCCCACUAGUACCUUCAAGUUCUUGACUGAUAGAGCUUGGCAGAAUCUUUUUGGGUGGAGCGACCGGCCCUUAUCCAGGGCUGGGAAUGAGACGUUAUUGAAGUCCAUCACUCAGGCCAUUCCAACUUUCGUCUCUAGCUGUUUCCGCCUUCCUGUGGCCACUUGUGAAAAGUUCAGACAAAUUGUUGCCGAUCGGUGGUGGGGAAGAGAGGAUGGAAAGAAGAAACUUCAC
Molecule: ribosomal RNA, 1251 nt
Filed under: Triticum aestivum (bread wheat)
Lineage: Eukaryota; Viridiplantae; Streptophyta; Magnoliopsida; Poales; Poaceae
Description: partial small subunit ribosomal RNA
Source: RNAcentral